This 484-nucleotide ribosomal RNA is filed under the name uncultured bacterium. RNAcentral's name for it is "partial 16S ribosomal RNA". It matches the Rfam family "Bacterial small subunit ribosomal RNA", at positions 29 to 507 of the family's 1533-position model. The record is from RNAcentral.
AUUGAACGCUGGCGGCAUGCCUUACACAUGCAAGUCGAACGGCAGCGCGGGCUUCGGCCUGGCGGCGAGUGGCGAACGGGUGAGUAAUGCAUCGGAACGUGCCCAGUAGUGGGGGAUAGCCCGGCGAAAGCCGGAUUAAUACCGCAUACGACCUGAGGGUGAAAGCGGGGGACCGAAAGGCCUCGCGCUAUUGGAGCGGCCGAUGUCGGAUUAGCUAGUUGGUGGGGUAAAGGCUUACCAAGGCGACGAUCCGUAGCUGGUCUGAGAGGACGACCAGCCACACUGGAACUGAGACACGGCGCAGACUCCUACGGGAGGCAGCAGUGGGGAAUUUUGGACAAUGGGGGCAAGCCUGAUCCAGCCAUGCCGCGUGCGGGAAGAAGGCCUUCGGGUUGUAAAGCGCUUUUGUUCGGGAAGAAAUCCUGUGGGCUAAUACCCCGGGGGGAUGACGGUACCGGAAGAAUAAGCACCGGCUAACUACGUG